UACAGAGGUCUCAAGCGUUGUUCGGAUUCAUUGGGCGUAAAGGGUGCGUAGGCGGCGCGGUAAGUCGGGUGUGAAAUCUUGGAGCUUAACUCCGAAACUGCAUUCGAUACUGCCGUGCUUGAGGACUGGAGAGGAGACUGGAAUUUACGGUGUAGCGGUGAAAUGCGUAGAUAUCGUAAGGAAGACCAGUGGCGAAGGCGGGUCUCUGGACAGUUCCUGACGUGAGGCACGAAGGUCAGGGGGAGCAAACGGG
Molecule: ribosomal RNA, 253 nt
Filed under: uncultured bacterium
Lineage: Bacteria
Description: partial 16S ribosomal RNA
Rfam family: Bacterial small subunit ribosomal RNA
Source: RNAcentral